AGCUUGCUAUUGGUUCGCUAAGCCUGCGAGUUGAGAGGGUUCGGCCCUCGGCUAACGGCUCAGUAACACGUGGAUAAUCUGCCCUUAGGUGGAGGAUACCCUCGGGAAACUGAGAAUAAUACUCCAUAGGUCUAGGAUGCUGGAAUGCACUUAGACUAAAAACUCCGGUGCCUAAGGAUGAGUCUGCGGACUACCAGGUUGUAGUCAGGGUAAAGACCUGACUAGCCUACGACGGAUACGGGUUGUGAGAGCAAUAACCCGGAGAUGAUAUCUGAGACACGAUAUCAGGCCCUACGGGGCGCAGCAGGCGCGAAAACUUCACAAUGCGCGAAAGCGCGAUGAGGGAAUCCCAAGUGCUUGCACGUAAGUGUAAGCUGUUUCUAUGUUUAAAACGCAUAGAGAGUAAGGGCUGGGUAAGACGGGUACCAGCCGCCGCGGUAAUACCUGCAGCUCGAGUGGUGGCCGCUAUUAUUGGGCCUAAAACGUCCGUAGCCGGUUUAAUAAAUGCCUGGGUAAAUUGUAUAGCUUAACUAUACGAAUUCCGGGUAGACUGAUAAACUUGAGACCGGGGGAAGUUAGAGGUACUCCUGGGGUAGAGGUGAAAUUCUGUAAUCCUAGGGGGACCACCGGUGGCGAAGGCGUCUGACUAAAACGGGUCUGACGGUGAGGGACGAAGCCCUGGGGCGCAAACGGGAUUAGAUACCCCGGUAGUCCAGGGUGUAAACGCUGCUUGCUUGAUGUUAGUCGGGCUUCGAGCCCGAUUAGUGUCGGAGAGAAGUUGUUAAGCAAGCUGCCUGGGAAGUACGGCCGCAAGACUGAAACUUAAAG
Molecule: ribosomal RNA, 828 nt
Filed under: uncultured archaeon
Lineage: Archaea
Description: bacterial SSU rRNA
Rfam family: Archaeal small subunit ribosomal RNA
Source: RNAcentral